Molecule: ribosomal RNA, 280 nt
Filed under: uncultured bacterium
Lineage: Bacteria
Description: partial 16S ribosomal RNA
Rfam family: Bacterial small subunit ribosomal RNA
Source: RNAcentral
CCGGCCGACCGGGUACGGAGUAACGUAACGUACUAGUCGUAACACACCGUGCCCGUGGCAGGGGGAUAAGCGGGGGAAACCCCGUCUAAUACCGCGUAACGCGGCCUAGGGACAUCCCAAGGCCGCCAAAGGGAGCAAUCCCGGCCACGGAUGGGCAUGCGGCGCAUUAGCUAGUCGGCGGGGUAACGGCCCACCGAGGCGACGAUGCGUAGGGGUUCUGAGAGGAAGGCCCCCCACACUGGUACUGAGACACGGACCAGACUCCUACGGAAGGCAGCAG